RNAcentral lists this ribosomal RNA (211 nucleotides) under uncultured bacterium. RNAcentral describes it as "partial 16S ribosomal RNA". It matches the Rfam family "Bacterial small subunit ribosomal RNA", at positions 1291 to 1500 of the family's 1533-position model. The record is from RNAcentral.
GUUCAGAUUGCAGGCUGCAACUCGCCUGCAUGAAGUCGGAAAUUGCUAGUAAUCGCAGAUCAGCAUGCUGCGAUGAAUACGUUCCCGGGCCUUGUACACACCGCCCGUCACACCAUGGGAGUCGGUAACACCCGAAGUCGGUAGCCUAACCGUAAGGAGGGCGCCGCCGAAGGUGGGAUUGAUGACUGGGGUGAAGUCGUAACAAGGUAGC